GGUUAAGCGACUAAGCGUACACGGUGGAUGCCCUGGCAGUCAGAGGCGAUGAAGGACGUGCUAAUCUGCGAUAAGCGUCGGUAAGGUGAUAUGAACCGUUAUAACCGGCGAUUUCCGAAUGGGGAAACCCAGUGUGUUUCGACACACUAUCAUUAACUGAAUCCAUAGGUUAAUGAGGCGAACCGGGGGAACUGAAACAUCUAAGUACCCCGAGGAAAAGAAAUCAACCGAGAUUCCCCCAGUAGCGGCGAGCGAACGGGGAGCAGCCCAGAGCCUGAAUCAGUGUGUGUGUUAGUGGAAGCGUCUGGAAAGGCGCGCGAUACAGGGUGACAGCCCCGUACACAAAAAUGCACAUGCUGUGAGCUCGAUGAGUAGGGCGGGACACGUGGUAUCCUGUCUGAAUAUGGGGGGACCAUCCUCCAAGGCUAAAUACUCCUGACUGACCGAUAGUGAACCAGUACCGUGAGGGAAAGGCGAAAAGAACCCCGGCGAGGGGAGUGAAAAAGAACCUGAAACCGUGUACGUACAAGCAGUGGGAGCACGCUUAGGCGUGUGACUGCGUACCUUUUGUAUAAUGGGUCAGCGACUUAUAUUCUGUAGCAAGGUUAACCGAAUAGGGGAGCCGAAGGGAAACCGAGUCUUAACUGGGCGUUAAGUUGCAGGGUAUAGACCCGAAACCCGGUGAUCUAGCCAUGGGCAGGUUGAAGGUUGGGUAACACUAACUGGAGGACCGAACCGACUAAUGUUGAAAAAUUAGCGGAUGACUUGUGGCUGGGGGUGAAAGGCCAAUCAAACCGGGAGAUAGCUGGUUCUCCCCGAAAGCUAUUUAGGUAGCGCCUCGUGAAUUCAUCUCCGGGGGUAGAGCACUGUUUCGGCAAGGGGGUCAUCCCGACUUACCAACCCGAUGCAAACUGCGAAUACCGGAGAAUGUUAUCACGGGAGACACACGGCGGGUGCUAACGUCCGUCGUGAAGAGGGAAACAACCCAGACCGCCAGCUAAGGUCCCAAAGUCAUGGUUAAGUGGGAAACGAUGUGGGAAGGCCCAGACAGCCAGGAUGUUGGCUUAGAAGCAGCCAUCAUUUAAAGAAAGCGUAAUAGCUCACUGGUCGAGUCGGCCUGCGCGGAAGAUGUAACGGGGCUAAACCAUGCACCGAAGCUGCGGCAGCGACNNNNNNNNNNUGUUGGGUAGGGGAGCGUUCUGUAAGCCUGUGAAGGUGUGCUGUGAGGCAUGCUGGAGGUAUCAGAAGUGCGAAUGCUGACAUAAGUAACGAUAAAGCGGGUGAAAAGCCCGCUCGCCGGAAGACCAAGGGUUCCUGUCCAACGUUAAUCGGGGCAGGGUGAGUCGACCCCUAAGGCGAGGCCGAAAGGCGUAGUCGAUGGGAAACAGGUUAAUAUUCCUGUACUUGGUGUUACUGCGAAGGGGGGACGGAGAAGGCUAUGUUGGCCGGGCGACGGUUGUCCCGGUUUAAGCGUGUAGGCUGGUUUUCCAGGCAAAUCCGGAAAAUCAAGGCUGAGGCGUGAUGACGAGGCACUACGGUGCUGAAGCAACAAAUGCCCUGCUUCCAGGAAAAGCCUCUAAGCAUCAGGUAACAUCAAAUCGUACCCCAAACCGACACAGGUGGUCAGGUAGAGAAUACCAAGGCGCUUGAGAGAACUCGGGUGAAGGAACUAGGCAAAAUGGUGCCGUAACUUCGGGAGAAGGCACGCUGAUAUGUAGGUGAAGUCCCUCGCGGAUGGAGCUGAAAUCAGUCGAAGAUACCAGCUGGCUGCAACUGUUUAUUAAAAACACAGCACUGUGCAAACACGAAAGUGGACGUAUACGGUGUGACGCCUGCCCGGUGCCGGAAGGUUAAUUGAUGGGGUUAGCGCAAGCGAAGCUCUUGAUCGAAGCCCCGGUAAACGGCGGCCGUAACUAUAACGGUCCUAAGGUAGCGAAAUUCCUUGUCGGGUAAGUUCCGACCUGCACGAAUGGCGUAAUGAUGGCCAGGCUGUCUCCACCCGAGACUCAGUGAAAUUGAACUCGCUGUGAAGAUGCAGUGUACCCGCGGCAAGACGGAAAGACCCCGUGAACCUUUACUAUAGCUUGACACUGAACAUUGAGCCUUGAUGUGUAGGAUAGGUGGGAGGCUUAGAAGUGUGGACGCCAGUCUGCAUGGAGCCGACCUUGAAAUACCACCCUUUAAUGUUUGAUGUUCUAACGUUGACCCGUAAUCCGGGUUGCGGACAGUGUCUGGUGGGUAGUUUGACUGGGGCGGUCUCCUCCUAAAGAGUAACGGAGGAGCACGAAGGUUGGCUAAUCCUGGUCGGACAUCAGGAGGUUAGUGCAAUGGCAUAAGCCAGCUUGACUGCGAGCGUGACGGCGCGAGCAGGUGCGAAAGCAGGUCAUAGUGAUCCGGUGGUUCUGAAUGGAAGGGCCAUCGCUCAACGGAUAAAAGGUACUCCGGGGAUAACAGGCUGAUACCGCCCAAGAGUUCAUAUCGACGGCGGUGUUUGGCACCUCGAUGUCGGCUCAUCACAUCCUGGGGCUGAAGUAGGUCCCAAGGGUAUGGCUGUUCGCCAUUUAAAGUGGUACGCGAGCUGGGUUUAGAACGUCGUGAGACAGUUCGGUCCCUAUCUGCCGUGGGCGCUGGAGAACUGAGGGGGGCUGCUCCUAGUACGAGAGGACCGGAGUGGACGCAUCACUGGUGUUCGGGUUGUCAUGCCAAUGGCACUGCCCGGUAGCUAAAUGCGGAAGAGAUAAGUGCUGAAAGCAUCUAAGCACGAAACUUGCCCCGAGAUGAGUUCUCCCUGNNNNNNNNAGGGUCCUGAAGGAACGUUGAAGACGACGACGUUGAUAGGCCGGGUGUGUAAGCGCAGCGAUGCGUUGAGCUAACCGGUACUAAUGAACCGUGAGGCUUAACCUU
This 2904-nucleotide ribosomal RNA is filed under the name Escherichia coli. Its description in RNAcentral is "23S ribosomal RNA". It matches the Rfam family "Bacterial large subunit ribosomal RNA". Lineage: Bacteria; Pseudomonadati; Pseudomonadota; Gammaproteobacteria; Enterobacterales; Enterobacteriaceae. The record is from RNAcentral.